AGCCUUAUAGUUUAAUUAAAACAUUAAAUUGCAAAUUUAAAAAUAAACAAUAAUUUAAGGCUU
This 63-nucleotide transfer RNA is filed under the name Scaphisoma boleti. RNAcentral describes it as "tRNA-Cys". Lineage: Eukaryota; Metazoa; Arthropoda; Insecta; Coleoptera; Staphylinidae. The record is from RNAcentral.